RNAcentral lists this ribosomal RNA (751 nucleotides) under uncultured bacterium. RNAcentral's name for it is "bacterial SSU rRNA". It matches the Rfam family "Bacterial small subunit ribosomal RNA", at positions 33 to 773 of the family's 1533-position model. The record is from RNAcentral.
ACGCUGGCGGCAGGCCUAACACAUGCAAGUCGAGCGGUAGCACGGGAGAGCUUGCUCUCUGGGUGACGAGCGGCGGACGGGUGAGUAAUGUCUGGGAAACUGCCUGAUGGAGGGGGAUAACUACUGGAAACGGUAGCUAAUACCGCAUGACCUCGCAAGAGCAAAGUGGGGGACCUUCGGGCCUCACGCCAUCGGAUGUGCCCAGAUGGGAUUAGCUAGUAGGUGGGGUAAUGGCUCACCUAGGCGACGAUCCCCAGCUGGUCUGAGAGGAUGACCAGCCACACUGGAACUGAGACACGGUCCAGACUCCUACGGGAGGCAGCAGUGGGGAAUAUUGCACAAUGGGCGCAAGCCUGAUGCAGCCAUGCCGCGUGUGUGAAGAAGGCCUUAGGGUUGUAAAGCACUUUCAGCGAGGAGGAAGGCGUUGCAGUUAAUAGCUGCAGCGAUUGACGUUACUCGCAGAAGAAGCACCGGCUAACUCCGUGCCAGCAGCCGCGGUAAUACGGGGGGUGCAAGCGUUAAUCGGAAUUACUGGGCGUAAAGCGCACGCAGGCGGUUUGUUAAGUUGGAUGUGAAAUCCCCGGGCUCAACCUGGGAACUGCAUUCAAAACUGUCGAGCUAGAGUAUGGUAGAGGGUGGUGGAAUUUCCUGUGUAGCGGUGAAAUGCGUAGAUAUAGGAAGGAACACCAGUGGCGAAGGCGACCACCUGGACUGAUACUGACACUGAGGUGCGAAAGCGUGGGGAGCAAAC